CACGGGGGUUGCGAGCGUUGUCCGGAAUUACUAGGCGUAAAGGGCAGGCAGGCGGAUCCAUAAGUUUAUCGUUUAAGGCGUCGGCUUAACCGGCGUAGGGCGGUAGAUACUGUGGAUCUGGAAUGCGGUUGGGGAAGACAGAAUUCCUGGUGUAGCGGUGGAAUGCGCAGAGAUCAGGAGGAAUACCGAAGGCGAAGGCAGUCUUCCAAGCCGUUAUUGACGCUCAACUGCGAAGGUGUGGGUAUCAAACAGGAUUAGAUGCCCGGGUAGUCCCUGA
Molecule: ribosomal RNA, 277 nt
Filed under: uncultured prokaryote
Description: partial 16S ribosomal RNA
Rfam family: Bacterial small subunit ribosomal RNA
Source: RNAcentral